Molecule: long non-coding RNA, 1012 nt
Organism: Salvelinus fontinalis (brook trout)
Lineage: Eukaryota; Metazoa; Chordata; Actinopteri; Salmoniformes; Salmonidae
Exons: 2
Source: RefSeq, a predicted model, not a curated record
CUUUGCUAUAUCAUUCUGCAUUCAGUAUGUCCACUGGAAAGCCAUUUUUAGCCAGGAAACUACGACAUUGUUCCGCGCCGAUGACACAGGCGGUGUUCACUUGAUUGACUGUAUCUUUGUCCAAAUGACAACCUAUAGUUUUGAAACCUAGUUAACUAGAUAGCCAACGUGCUGUGCUUUAUGUGAGUAGGUGGAAACCCUUUGUAUGAAGUAAAAUAUUUCAGCUAAACUCGCGCAUAUGCGAGUCGAGUGGAAUUUGGACAUUUAUGCAAGAGCAUGUCGAAGCGCGCUACGCACAUCUCGGUAAAGACUGACUUCAAAGACACCACAUUCAAGUCCUCCAUCCCCGACUUAGUCUGACUGCUGCUCUCUCUGGCUCCACAACAAACCCCCGCCCAGCCAUCUAGAGGUGUGAAUACCCAGCCAGCCUACAGAGAGGAUGGAUGAGCAGAAAGAGACUUGGGACCACAAUCUUGUGUAGAGGGUGUUCUAAAUACUGUAAUUGUAAAUAGUGUGUACAUUUUAUUUUUUUACUUUGUGUGUGGUUUGUGAUGUGUUCACUUAUGACAUUAGAUCAGUGUUGGCUGCUAACUUGGCCCUAAUCUUAAAUAUUUCACUUCUGUGUUUGGAGACAUUGGAUCAGCAUUCUUGUUGCGUCUCCUGUAUGUACUUUUUAUGUAGGGAAGCUAAUGAUUCAUCAUGUAUGACAUUCCUGGCAGUGUGUAAAUUUGUAUUUUUUAUCAGCAUAGCAUUUUUGUAUGUUUUCAAUAGUCAUGUUCUUGAAAAUGUAUAAAUUUACCAAUUAUGCCACAUAGGUACAUUUGGGCAAAUCAUGAGGGACACCUGGGUGACUUCAUAGUAAAUGUUAUGUAGCUUGCUCAUUCUUGAAGUUAUCAGUCUUGUGGACACCAUCUUAAAUCACCUCCAGCUUUCUAGCGGAAUGUGUGGGUUUUCUUUUUCAUGUCAAAGAUGAUGCAACAAAAAAAAAAAACAUAUAUUAUCUUUUACCAGA